This 752-nucleotide ribosomal RNA is filed under the name uncultured bacterium. Its description in RNAcentral is "bacterial SSU rRNA". It matches the Rfam family "Bacterial small subunit ribosomal RNA", at positions 61 to 793 of the family's 1533-position model. The record is from RNAcentral.
GUCGAACGCGAAAGUGGAGCAAUCCAUGAGUAGAGUGGCGAACGGGUGAGUAACACGUGGGGUGACCUACCUUCGAAUGGGGGAUAACGUCCCGAAAGGGACGCUAAUACCGCAUAACAUCCUGCCUUUGAACAGGUGGAGAUCAAAGCCGGGGAUCGCAAGACCCGGCGUUUGAAGAGGGGCCCGCGUCUGAUUAGCUAGUUGGUGAGGUAACGGCUCACCAAGGCGACGAUCAGUAUCCGGCCUGAGAGGGCGGACGGACACACUGGGACUGAGACACGGCCCAGACUCCUACGGGAGGCAGCAGUGGGGAAUUGUUCGCAAUGGGCGCAAGCCUGACGACGCAACGCCGCGUGGAGGAUGAAGGUCUUCGGAUUGUAAACUCCUGUUGCUCGGGACGAAACGCUUCGACCUAACACGUCGAAGUUUGACGGUACCGGGUGAGGAAGCCCCGGCUAACUCUGUGCCAGCAGCCGCGGUAAUACAGAGGGGGCAAGCGUUGUUCGGAAUUACUGGGCGUAAAGGGCGCGUAGGCGGCCUUCUAAGUCGAACGUGAAAUCCCCGGGCUCAACCCGGGAACUGCGUCCGAUACUGGAAGGCUUGAAUCCGGGAGAGGGAUGCGGAAUUCCAGGUGUAGCGGUGAAAUGCGUAGAUAUCUGGAGGAACACCGGUGGCGAAGGCGGCAUCCUGGACCGGCAUUGACGCUGAGGCGCGAAAGCCAGGGGAGCAAACGGGAUUAGAUACCCCGGUAG